Molecule: long non-coding RNA, 1296 nt
Organism: Pogoniulus pusillus (Red-fronted tinkerbird)
Lineage: Eukaryota; Metazoa; Chordata; Aves; Piciformes; Lybiidae
Exons: 2
Source: RefSeq, a predicted model, not a curated record
CCUCUCAGAGGGUGGCAGUGUGUCUUUAGCACUGGCACGGGGGACAAGAGGACAUCCUGGCAGAGAAAAUGUGCUGCCAGCUUGGCAGUGCUACACAGGAUGGACUAACACUCCCAUUGCUCCUCUAGAUGUGGGCAAGGACAUCCGUGAGAACACUGACACUCGUUGGCAAGAGCUCUUCAACAUCAAGUUGCAGAUUGUGCAGUACCUGAAAGCAGUCUUUGUAGUCUGUGUAGUAGCAGCCACCUUUUUCCUGAUACUUGUAUUGGUGCUGUGCUGCACAGCAGCCUGCUACUGCCUGAAGAAAGCCAUGGGGUGAGUCGUGACUUUUAUGCCCCCCACUGCUUCCCUCCAGGGCUGCUCAAAGCCACGAAGCAUUUCUAGUCAGAGUGCUGUGGAGCAGUCACUUGGUGAUUGGGCAGAACCUGCCAGCUGCAGAUGAGGACUUGAGCAGCCUCCUCUCUCUACAGGAAACGCUCUGCAGAUCCAGGACACAAGCUGGAAACAGGCAGCUUCCUUUCCAGUCUGAAGAACAAGAGGAGCUCCCCUGACACAGCUCAAAUCUCAGCCAAAGAGCAGAUGCCAGAGCAGCCAUUGAAGACAGCACAAGUGGAGCAUCCACCCAGCCCACUGGAGACAGUGGCAGAGGAGCAGCCACGCAGAUCACAGGAGCCAGUGCCACAAAGGCGUCCACCCAGCACACUGGAGACAGUGGCAGAGGAGCAGCCACGCAGAUCACGGGAGCCAGUGCCACAAAGGCGUCCAUCCAGCACACUGGAGCCACCUCCAGAGGAGUAUCCACGCAGAUCAUGGGACUCAGUGCCACAGAGGCACCCACCCAGACCUCAGCACUCCAUGUCAGCCAGAUCCACGGUGGGGCCACCGAGCUCCCCGAGCAAGACCUUUCAGCAGCCCAGUCAGCAAUGGAGCCAUUCGGCAUCCUCCCACCGCACCAGUCAGCACAGCAACCGAGACUAAGGCUCCUCCUGUUUGUGCUGUGAAGAAAUCAAAGUGGGUUUGUGACAUGGCUUGGUGAGGGCUGCAAGGAAGAUUGGUCCAGUCUAAAGGUUUCUUCACAAUGGAGACAGAGGAGCCCUGUGAAACGGCAUUUGAAUGGAGAGUGCAGGGGACUGAUCCCCGUGGGGAGCAUCCACCCAGGACACCGAAGACAGUAGCUGUUGUGUUUGUGUACUACCUUUUACCUUGUGUAUUUCUGUCUGUAGCUGUAUAGAUUGCAAAUACCUGCUUGUAUGUUGUGCUAAGCUGUCACUAUAAAGCUUCAUUCCUUAAUUCCCA